AUGGUCUGUUCCUUCCUUCAGCCAGUCCUUCCUUCAAGAUUUUUGCCUGCGGAUCUCUCUCUUCAAAACAUAUAUAUCUUUCGGCGCCAGUCUUUCCUGCCUUACCUUAACCCCGCUUUCACGUGGCGAAUCGGUAUGCGGUUUUAG
This 147-nucleotide ribosomal RNA is filed under the name Triticum aestivum (bread wheat). RNAcentral's name for it is "partial small subunit ribosomal RNA". Lineage: Eukaryota; Viridiplantae; Streptophyta; Magnoliopsida; Poales; Poaceae. The record is from RNAcentral.